GAAGUGAGUUGGUGCCAUCUACUCCCUUUUUCUUUUCUUCUAUUCCAAACACACCACCCGCUAAUCUCUUCCACAAUUGUCGAUUCAAACCAACAUUGUUGUUGUUGUUUGAGCUGAGAUUUUGUGAGCUCCAAUCCAAUGGCUUCUUCGUCUCUCACAUCCAAACCCUUUCUGGGUUCUGCUUCAAGAACCGAACGCCUUUCUGGGUUGUGCUCUGAUCUCCGAAACCUCUCCUCCCCCUCCAAGAAGCUCCGAGGCCAGGUCAGAGCUGAAUUACUACCCCUAGGAAGGAAACUGACACAUGCAAAAUACUUUCAAGAGUCCAAAGGAGGUUAGAUCUUUGUGGUUUAACCUUUCUUCUUCCAAAUGAUCAUAUAUAGUUCUUGAGGUGUAAUAUCUAUUGUUUUGACCAUAUUCAUUGUUAACAUGUUAGAUCAGUAAGCAGUCCCCCUCGUUCUCUCUGAUCACAUUCAGUCUUUCCACACCUCAGUGUUCAUGUACAUUUAUUAGUAGACCUGCUUGUAUUUGGAUGUAUAAGCUAAGCAAUGCUGUGAUGGUUGGUGUGUGAUUCUUUAUA
Molecule: RNA transcript, 577 nt
Organism: Fragaria vesca subsp. vesca
Lineage: Eukaryota; Viridiplantae; Streptophyta; Magnoliopsida; Rosales; Rosaceae
Exons: 2
Source: RefSeq, a predicted model, not a curated record